GAUGAACGCUGGCGGCGUGCCUAAUACAUGCAAGUCGAGCGAAUGGAUUGAGAGCUUGCUCUUAUGAAGUUAGCGGCGGACGGGUGAGUAACACGUGGGUAACCUGCCCACAAGACUGGGAUAACUCCGGGAAACCGGGGCUAAUACCGGAUAACAUUUUGAACCGCAUGGUUCGAAAUUGAAAGGCGGCUUCGGCUGUCACUUUUGGAUGGACCCGCGUCGCAUUAGCUAGUUGGUGAGGUAACGGCUCACCAAGGCAACGAUGCGUAGCCGACCUGAGAGGGUGAUCGGCCACCCUGGGACUGAGACACGGCCCAGACUCCUACGGGAGGCAGCAGUAGGGAAUCUUCCGCAAUGGACGAAAGUCUGACGGAGCAACGCCGCGUGAGUGAUGAAGGCUUUCGGGUCGUAAAACUCUGUUGUUAGGGAAGAACAAGUGCUAGUUGAAUAAGCUGGCACCUUGACGGUACCUAACCAGAAAGCCACGGCUAACUACGUGCCAGCCGCCGCGGUAA
This 515-nucleotide ribosomal RNA is filed under the name uncultured bacterium. Its description in RNAcentral is "partial 16S ribosomal RNA". It matches the Rfam family "Bacterial small subunit ribosomal RNA", at positions 28 to 523 of the family's 1533-position model. The record is from RNAcentral.